Molecule: ribosomal RNA, 254 nt
Filed under: uncultured bacterium
Lineage: Bacteria
Description: partial 16S ribosomal RNA
Rfam family: Bacterial small subunit ribosomal RNA
Source: RNAcentral
UACGUAGGUGGCAAGCGUUGUCCGGAUUUAUUGGGUUUAAAGGGUGCGUAGGCGGCCGCUUAAGUCAGUUGUGAAAUAUCCCGGCUCAACCGGGAGGGUGCGAUUGAUACUGGGCGGCUCGAGUAACAGCGAGGUUGGCGGAAUUGACGGUGUAGCGGUGAAAUGCAUAGAUAUCGUCAAGAACACCGAUAGCGAAGGCAGCCAACUAGGGGUUAACUGACGCUGAGGCACGAAAGUGCGGGGAGUCAAACAGG